RNAcentral lists this long non-coding RNA (7669 nucleotides) under Gossypium barbadense (sea-island cotton). RNAcentral's name for it is "long non-coding RNA (GBAR_LNC002743)". Lineage: Eukaryota; Viridiplantae; Streptophyta; Magnoliopsida; Malvales; Malvaceae. The record is from RNAcentral.
UACGCGAUAAUAGCUUUCAGUACUAUAUGAAGCUCUGUAUGAUUGUGAAUGUAAAACUUCAUAGUAUUUGACGGGAUGCAACGGGAAAAUGAAUAGAUAGAGUUAUUUUGGUUUGGGAAACUGAAGAAAAAUAAAAGUUAUUUGAGAUAGACUGGAAACAGCUUUUGACAGACAGAAAUCGUAUGAAGACUUAAAACAUUAGGAAAUUGAGUUCUUGUUCUAUUUGGCUAUGUGAAAUGUAACGACCCAAAUUUUAGUGAUAUCGGAAUAGUUGUUAUAGGCCAAUUUUGGGCCCAUUUACAUUAAACCCCCAUAAGCCCAUUUACAUUACAAUACCCGGACCCCAAUCAUCAAACCCAUUAAACCCCUACCCAAUACGAUUAACCCACUUAAACCUCAGCCCGUUUCAUAACCCCAAAACCAACCACUACCCAAACCUUAGCCCAACAACCUAAAUACCCCUAAACCAUUUACAAAUUAAACCCAAUACCCAUUACAAAACACACCCUCAGCCCAAUUAAACCUACCCAACAGAAGCCCAAACCCCUUACAACCCAAUAACAAUUGAAACCCUAGCCACCUGCCCCAUCACCAAGGGUCACCUCAGCCGAAUUAGCCUCCCCACUUGCCCUGACUGUCGGCCAACCACCCUUUGCACCCCAUGUCGUCUGCCACCAUUAUCUGCUCCACCUACAAGAUCAAGCAAACACAAUGUAAAGGCUAUAAAAGCCGAAUGUAAAAACAAAAAGGGGGUUCGGCAACUCUAAAAAAAUAUAUACAAAGAAAAGCAUUCAAUUUUUAAGCAAAAAAGAUAGCGAUUCCAUCAAUAGUCAAGAGAAUAAUCACCAAAUCAAACACAAAAUCAGAGAAACAGAGAACAAAAAUCGAAACCAAAGAACGAAGGUGAUUUUCUUUUUUUUUCUUAUAUUUUCGAAUCGAUUAUUUUCUUUUUUUUUCUUUUCCUACUUAUAACCAUAUACAUAUAUAUUAUAUCAUUUAACUAAAAAAAAUUUACCUUUGCACGGUGGCCGGCGCCGGCGAAGGACGGCGUCCGACAAUCGGCCGGUGACCGGCCCAUGGCCGGAUUCCCUCUCCCUCUCCAUUCUCUCUUCUUUUUUUUCUUUCUCUCCUCACCAAAUGAUUUUUUUUUGUUAAUUUUGGCCUUUAUAUACCCUCCCAAAACGACGUCGUUUUGGGGGCAGCCAUUUAACCCCAAAACGACGUCGUUUUGAUACGACCCGGUCCGACCCGACCCGACCCGACCCACCUCAGGAUCCGCGUGUUUUUGGAAAAGAGGGAAUUUGCGCGUGCGGUCCUUCCGCUUUUUCAAGCUUUUGCAAUCAAGUUUUUUUUAUUUUAAAAUUUACCCCAGGAAGUUGUCGCACUUUUCAAUUUAGACCCCACUGAUAUGUUGUGUUUUGAUGGGAAGGAAUAUUUGUUAUUUUAGUCUUCCUAGGUUAUGCGCGUGUGGCAUUUUGAUCCUUUUUCUUUAUUUCUCUUUAAAAUUGCCCCAAAACUUUGUUUUUGUUCAAAAUUUAGUCAUUUUUUUAAAAUUUUAGUUUAUUUUCGUAUUAUCUUCGUUAUUUUAUUUCAUUUUAAAUAUUAUUUGAUUAUCAUUAUUAUUAUAUUAGUGUAUAUUUUAUUUACAUACGUAUAUGUAUUUAUAUCUAUAUAGUAUUUUUUUAAAAUUAUUUUAUUUUAAUAUUAUUACAUUAUGUUUACUUUUUUGAAUUUCUAUAUUAUUAUUAUUAUUGUUACUUAUUAUUAUUACUGUUAUGUACAUAUUAUUUAUACUAUACUUAAUAUUAUUAUUAUAUUUACUAUUAUUAUUUAUAAAUAUUAGUUUAUAUUUUUAUUAUAUAUGUAUAUAUAUACUCUUUAUGUAUGGUAUUUUUUUAACAUUAUUAUAUUUACUAUUAUAUUUAUUAUCUUUAAUAUAUUAUAUUUUACUUUCCUUACCUUAUUAUUAUGUCAUACUUUCUUUUGUAUUUUUGCUAUUAUUGUUAUUAUUAUUAUUAUUAUUAUUAUUAUUAUUUAUUAUAUUUAUAUAAUAUUAUUAAUAGGUACUUUUAACAUUAUUAUUUCUAAUACGUAAAUGCUAUGUAAGUAUUUUAAUACUAUAUUAUGUAUGUAUUUUUCAACGCCAUAUUAUGUAUAUAUUUUUAAUGCUAUGCGUGCACUUUGUAAUACUAUUAUAAUGUAUAUAUUUUAAUACCAUUAGUUAUACAUUUUUGUACUAUUUCAUAUAUAUAUUUUUUCUAUAUUAUCCUUAUUAUUAGUAUUGAUAUUAGUGCGUUUUAUUAUAUGUAUAUAUACUCUCAAUAUUAUAUUUUUAUAUGUAUACUCUUAAUACCAUAUUAUUCUUAUUAUUUUCGCUAUUAUUACUUACUUUUAAUAUUAUUGUUAUUAUUUACAUAUAUGUAUAGAUAUUUUCAUGUACUUAUUAUAAAUGUAUCAUUUGCUUAUCUUAUUAUGUACAUAUAUUUUUCAAUAUUUAUAUAUAUAUUAUUAUGUAUAUAUACUUUAGCAUUACUAAUUAUGUAUAUUCUUACUAUUUUAUGUAUAUAUUUCAAAUACUAUAUAUAGUAUUUCUGACACUAUUACUAUUUAUACAUAUAUAUAUGUUUUGACGUACAUGUUCUUAAUAUCAUUUUUAUGUAUAUGUAUUCAUUGUUUUAUAUUUCGUAUUUGAUACUAUUAUUACAUUUAAUAUCGCAUACAUCUUUAUCAUUACUGUCACAUGGAUUAUUGGCUUCAAUAUAUUUCUAGCUCUUCCAUUUAUUUAUUUUGAUUAAUUCGCUUUGUAUUAUUUCGAAAAUCUCAUUCAUGUUUUUAUUUAUUUCAAUAAUCAAGGCAACGUACCGAUUUAAUAUUAAGUCAUCGAUUUCAUCGCUAUGUUGGGUGAACAUCAAUCGACUCGUGUUAAAACGGUAUGUCCUUCUCAAAAAAUCAAAAAAAUUGAAAAUUCUUGUGUUUCAAUCGGAUCACGAUUAAAGCUUAUAUUGAACUCGUAUUUUUGAAAAUCAAGAUGACGCGUGUUGUACAAGAUAACAAUUUUGGGCGUCGCGAGGGUGCUAAUACCUUCCUCGCGCGUAACAGACUCCCGAACCCUAAUUUAUCCCUGGCUUUUGACGUAGACCUAAACUCGGCUUUCUUUUUGUUUAAAAAAAAAAGAAAAUCUAAUAGGUGUCCGAUCACACCUAAGAAAAAGGAUCGGUGGCGACUCCCUUUUAAAUCAAACCUCGGUCUUUAAACUUUCAAUCAAACACCCCAAUUAGCGAUCGAAAGCAAAUUUACGUCGCUACAAUAGUAAUUUGAGAUCAUUAAAUCCGAUACUUGAGUUUAGAUAUUAGUAAGUAAAAGUUAAGUGUAGUUUUAGAAAUAAUUUCGAAUUAGUGAAAUUAUAAAUUAAAAGAAAUUUGUAGAUUAAAUAAGAUAAAAACAAUGUAUAGAGACCUCGAAUUCAUAAACCGAGCCAUAAAUAUUUUUAUAAAUAUUUAUAGAGUGUUAGUAAGUUAGUAUUAAAUUUUCGAUAAGAGAAUUAAAUUUUCGUUAAGAGAUUUUAAGGUUUCGAUAGUCAAUUGGGUAAAAAGGACUAAAUUGAAUUAAGUGCAAAAUUGUGAAAUGUGAUUAAAUAGCUCUAGUAAUAAUUAAAGGAGGACUAAAUAGGCAAUUAAACACCUAUUAUUUGGCUGGACGGCAUGAGUGUGCAGAAAAAUAAACAUCAAGUGUGAACAAGGGGCAAAAUUGGAAAUAGGGUAAAAAUUAAAUUGUAAAAUAUGAUAUAUUAGGUAAAAUCUAGAGUUUUCUUCAUUUUCUUCAUCCUCUCCAUUAAAAACACCAUUGAAGGGUACUUUUAAGCUGGUUUCUCAUAUUUUUACUACAUGUAACCUCAAUUCUUGAUUAUUUCUUGUAAACUUUGUGUUUUCGAGACUUUUACAACUAGGUCCACUUGUUUAAUUCAUUAGUUUUUGAUUUCAUGGGUAAUUUUGAAAGUUUCCAUGAAUAAGUGCUGAAAUUUUAUGAUGAUUUAUCAUGGAAUUAAGGUUUUAAUUUCAUUAUAUGAUGAUUUUAUGAAGAGAUUUGCAUAGAAAUUUAUUUUAGGACCUAAUUGUGAAAGUUGUUGGAAUUAGGGUUUUGUGUUGAAUCUUGGAAUGUCAAAGGCUAUGAAGUAGUUUGUAGUGUUUAGAUAAAAUGAUAUUUGAAAGGAAUUAGUUUAAUUGAUGAAUAAAUUGAAUAGGGACUAAAUUGUAAAAACUAAAAAGUUUUGGGCUAAUAGUGUAAUUUCAAAAUUUUAAGGGCAUAAAUUGUGAAAUAGAAUAGAAUCGAAAUAGAUGCUAAUGAAGUAAUGAUUUUAUAAUUAUAGAUAAAGAAAACGAAAUGAAUCGUGGAAAGGAGAAAAUUCAAGAAUAGUCCUUGACUUUCUAUGACUUUUGCAAAUUAGCCCAGGUAAGUUCAUAUGGAAAAUUUAAUGUUUUGUUAUGAAAAUAUUAUGGUUUUUAAGUAUAUUAUUGUAGAUGAAAACUAUUAAUUUGUAAAAAGUAUGAAAUAGUAUUUAAGUAAAAAUACAUAUUAUUUGGAACAAUAGAUUUGAGUGCUUCCAUUUUGUGACCAUAAUGAAUUGACGGAAAAGAUGUGAUAUGUACUUCCGUAUAAGACCAUAGCUGGGCUAUGGCAUCGGUACAAUAUGAUUCGAGUUCCCGUAUAAGACCAUAGUUGGGCUAUGGCAUCGGUGUGAUGUGAUAAUGUGAUUCCGUAUAAGACCAUAUCUGGGAUAUGACAUCGGCAUGUUAUGUGAUCUGUGUAAGACCAUGGCAGGGCUAUGGCUUCAGUGUGUAAUGUGUGACAAUGUGAAAGUCCAUAGUUUACUAUGGAAAUGUGAUAAUGAAUCACUCAAUUCCUUUAUUGUUCCUUAAUUUGACAAUGGAAGUAAAUGAGAAAUGGGCCCAAGGGAGUUAAAUUUGUGAAUAACAAUCUGGAAAUUAUCCAAAUGAGUUUAUUAAUGAAAUUGUGAUUUGCAGGAUGAAUUAGAUAAGCUAAUAGAUAUAUGAUUGUGUAAAAUAUUUGGUAAGAUUUGUGUAAUUAUGCCUAUGAGCUUACUAAGCUUCUAUAAGCUUACUUGUGUAUGUUACUUGUUUUGUAGAUUGACUUAUAUACAUACGGAGGAUUGGAUCUACAUCAAGGGUCACACUAUCCAGAUUUAUUUCGAUAGAUUUUGUUAAACAACUUUUUGAUUUAUAUGGCAUGUAUAGGAGUUGAUUUGAUAAUGUAAUUGUGUGAAUGAUUAAAUAUGUAAAGUAUGUUAAAUGUGAUGUUUUGUGUUUGAAAAUGAAAUAUACAUAUUUUGGAUUGAAAUAAUUGAUUGGUUGGGUUCUAUUAAUGUAUAAUUGUGUUUAGGUACAAGAAAUGGAUAAAAGAAUAUUAUUUGAUCAAGAUUUAUAAGUCAAUGUUUUGGGCAUAUAUUAAUUGUGUUUGUUAUGUGAAAAUAGCUUUAAAAUAGUAAAAAAAUGAGGUUUUCACACAGCCAAGUCACAUGGGCGUGUGCCCAGGCCAUGUGGUAAAGUCAGAAAAGCCCACGAGCAUGCCACAAGGGCAUGUCUCAGGCCACACGGGCGUGUGCCCCUAUUUUUAAGGAAAAUUUUUUAAAGUUCCCAGUUUAGUCCCAAAUCACUUCCUAAGCAUAUUUUGGGCCUCGCAGGUCCAUAUUAAGGACUUAAAGAUGAAAUUUAAGAAAUUUUUAAAUUAAAAUAUAGAUUUAUGACUCGAUUUUAUACGUUUAUUAUUGUUUAAUUCAGGUAGCACCUCGAACCCUGUUCCGGCGUCGGAUAUGGGCGAGGGGUGUUACAUGAAAUUAUAGAAAAAGUUAGACCAGUGAUAUAUUUUUUGGUUUUGCCUCCGAAGUUACAGAAAAGUUAUGAUGUUUUUCAUGUUUGGAUGCUCGGAAGUUAUAGAUCAGAUCUUUUACAUGUUAUCUCGACAAAUGAUAUUGAAAUUUGAACUGAUAUAUUGUAUGGACAAGAAGAACUGAUUGAGAUAUUAGCUUGAAAAGUGAAGUCAUAAUAUUGAGGAAGCAAUACGGGAACCGAAAGAAACAGUGAGAUCACUGAACCCCUACCUCUUUUUAGGCAAAUUUCGAGGACGAAAUUUAUUAAGGGGGGAGAAUUGUAAUGACUCGAACUUUACGGUUAUCGGAAAAGUGUAUUUUCGGGUCUCCAUUUCUAAAAAAUAGACUCGUAAAUAUUUAUUAAAAAUAUUCAUGACGUUAAAUGAGUGGUUAAUUAAAGUUUAAUGAAGUAAAUUAGCUUAAAUUAAGGAUAAUUAGGAAAAAAAGGAUUAAAUUGAAUGAAGUGUGAAAAUUUAAUUGUAGAUUAAAAGAAAAUAAAAAAAGGAUAAUCCGAACCUAGUUAUUAAUUAUUAUAUUUUAUUCAAUGCCUUUAGUGAAUGUUGAAGUGAGAAUUAUAGUGACACCCAGUGUCUCAUCGGCCUGGCUAAAGUAAAAUGGUACCUAGUACCUGAUCGAAUCUAUCCGAAGAAAUAUAGUGACACCCAAUGUCUCAUCGACUCGAGGUCGAAGUAUCCCUGAACUCUUGCAAUCCUAUGACAUGCCAACUAUACUGUUAAUAGGGUUUCCAAUUCAUUUUCCAAUUUCCUAUCAUUAUACACUUCAACAAUCACAUUUAUUAUCAAUUUCAAUAUAACUCAAUUCACUUUUUAAUAACAAAUAUUCAAUUUCACAAUAGUCCCUUAUUUAUAUUAAUUUCAUCACAUACUAAAUUAAUUUAUUUCAAUUAAAAAAAACACAAUACAAAUAAUUCACAUCUUAAUUAUUUAUCAUAACAUUUACCCAAAAUUCAAUUAUCAUAAUUGCACAAUAUCACAUGCACACACAUAUAUAUAUUUAUAAUAUAUAUAAUUCAAUUCAAUUCACUUCAACAUUCACUAAAGGCAUUGAAUAAAAUAUAAUAAUUAAUAACUAGGUUCGGAUUAUAUAAAUACAAACCGUGAUUUCCGAGCUAACCCUCGUUGACUUCAUCUUUUCCUUUCUUAACUGAGGAUGUUCCGGCACCCCGUUAGCUACGGAAUUAAUACAAUUUAUAAUCAUUAAUACAGUACAAUUUUCACAUUGAAUGUUUCAAUUUUUAUUCAACUUUUGUCUAAAUUCCAAUUUAGUCCCAAACUGAGACUAACUUUUAUUCUUCACAUUUAACUCAAUUUUCAUUCAAUUUUCAUUUUAAACUAAUUUCAGCUCUCUAAUUUUAGCAUAAAACCAUAAUUUCGAAAUUCUUUCAAUUCAGUCCCUACUAUUCAAAACUUAUGAAUUACUUUACAAUUCAAUCCUUAUCUCACUUUUAACUUGAAUUUCUAUCAAUUUAAUCCCUAAUUCAUCAUUUUAUUCAACAUAAACAAUAUUUAAAAAUCUAAUAACUUUCAAUAUAUCAAUUUAAUUUCAUCAAAACCUUAUUCCAAAGCUUCUAAAACAUCAAAAUUAAGUAAAAAGGGCUAAAUUGACUUACCUAUUUAAGCUUCAAGCAUCAAACCCCCAAUUUUCCCUUUUCUUCCUUUCUUUCUUUUUCUCCCUUGCUCUCUGUUUCGUUUCAUUCUGUUUCUUUUCUAUCCUUUUUCAUUUCUUUUGUUUUACUUUAUAUAUAUAUAUAUAAUAUGUUAACUU